Molecule: ribosomal RNA, 492 nt
Filed under: uncultured bacterium
Lineage: Bacteria
Description: partial 16S ribosomal RNA
Rfam family: Bacterial small subunit ribosomal RNA
Source: RNAcentral
AGUGAACGCUGGCGGUAGGCCUAACACAUGCAAGUCGAACGGCAGCACAGUAAGAGCUUGCUCUUACGGGUGGCGAGUGGCGGACGGGUGAGGAAUACAUCGGAAUCUACUUUUUCGUGGGGGAUAACGUAGGGAAACUUACGCUAAUACCGCAUACGACCUACGGGUGAAAGCAGGGGAUCUUCGGACCUUGCGCGAAUGAAUGAGCCGAUGUCGGAUUAGCUAGUUGGGGGGGUAAAGGCCCACCAAGGCGACGAUCCGUAGCUGGUCUGAGAGGAUGAUCAGCCACACUGGAACGGGGACACGGUCCAGACUCCUGCGGGAGGCAGCAGUGGGGAAUAUUGGACAAUGGGCGCAAGCCUGAUCCAGCCAUACCGCGUGGGUGAAGAAGGCCUUCGGGUUGUAAAGCCCUUUUGUUGGGAAAGAAAAGCAGCAGGUUAAUACCCCGCUGUUCUGACGGUACCCAAAGAAUAAGCACCGGCUAACUUCGUG